Molecule: ribosomal RNA, 591 nt
Filed under: Triticum aestivum (bread wheat)
Lineage: Eukaryota; Viridiplantae; Streptophyta; Magnoliopsida; Poales; Poaceae
Description: partial small subunit ribosomal RNA
Source: RNAcentral
AUGGCCGCAGCAGCUGCAGGCUUAGUUUGGGCGACCUUGCUCAUGUGUGCUGCGCUCGGCGCCGGGGUCGAGAAUCCAUUCUUUCCUCCUGGUUCCGAGCCAGAGCCGGUGAGGAUAUACUCCCAGGAGAAUGCCGCGCUGAACGUGGCCGAACGCGACGGCAACGUUGUCCUCGCGUACGGCGACUGCUCGGACCUUAGACAGAAAUGGUUCAUUGUGACGUCCCCCCACCCCUCCGCACCGUUUGAGUUGCCGCCGCCUUUCGUGCUGCAGAAUGCGCAGACGUUUCAGGUCAUCAUCAUCCCAUCAGGCAGUGGACAGAAGGUGCGCCUGUCGUCUGAACCGCCUAUCAACCCACUGGACUGGCUGUCGUGGUCGCGAGCAGCACUCGAGCAGCGAUGGACGCCGGAGAAGUCCACACGUGCUGACCACUUUUACCAACUGUCGGUUACCAAGAGCGACCCAGCUCUUACCCUCAACGGCCUGUUGGGCAACGUACAUGACGGAACGGAGGUCGGCAUCUAUCAUGCAUCACCAGAUUCAGGGAACGCCAUAUGGCAGAUGACUUCAUACCCACUCUGCGCCCGCUGA